Molecule: ribosomal RNA, 253 nt
Filed under: uncultured bacterium
Lineage: Bacteria
Description: partial 16S ribosomal RNA
Rfam family: Bacterial small subunit ribosomal RNA
Source: RNAcentral
UACGAAGGGUGCGAGCGUUAUUCGGAAUCAUUGGGUGUAAAGGGUGCGCAGGCGGUUUGUUAAGUCAGUCGUUUAAUGCUUCGGCCUAACCGAAGUUUAAUGACAGAAACUGGCAUACUAGAGUGUGGAAGAGAGGAGUGGAAUUCUCGGAGUAGCGGUAAAAUGCGUAGAUCUCGAGAGGAACACCGAUGGCGAAGGCAGCUCCUUGGUCCAUUACUGACGCUCAUGCACGAAAGCGUGGGGAGCAAACAGG